Molecule: ribosomal RNA, 137 nt
Filed under: Aotus nancymaae (Ma's night monkey)
Lineage: Eukaryota; Metazoa; Chordata; Mammalia; Primates; Aotidae
Source: RNAcentral
GUCUACGGCCAUACCACCCUGAACGUGCCGGAUCUCAUCUGAUCUCAGAAGCUAAGCAGGGUCGGGCCUGGUUAAUAUUUGGAUGGGAGAAAGAAAGCCUGUUAGAAAUUCACAACAAAGCCUGGCCACAAUGGCUC